This 463-nucleotide ribosomal RNA is filed under the name uncultured bacterium. Its description in RNAcentral is "partial 16S ribosomal RNA". It matches the Rfam family "Bacterial small subunit ribosomal RNA", at positions 28 to 507 of the family's 1533-position model. The record is from RNAcentral.
GACGAACGCUGGCGGCGUGCUUAACACAUGCAAGUCGAACGGAAAGGCCUUUUCGGAGGUACUCGAGUGGCGAACGGGUGAGUAACACGUGGGUGAUCUGCCCUGCACUCUGGGAUAAGCCUGGGAAACUGGGUCUAAUACCGGAUAGGACCGCACUUUAGUGUGUGUGGUGGAAAGUUUUUUCGGUGUAGGAUGAGCCCGCGGCCUAUCAGCUUGUUGGUGGGGUAAUGGCCUACCAAGGCGGCGACGGGUAGCCGGACUGAGAGGUUGGUCGGCCACAUUGGGACUGAGAUACGGCCCAGACUCCUACGGGAGGCAGCAGUGGGGAAUAUUGCACAAUGGGCGCAAGCCUGAUGCAGCGACGCCGCGUGGGGGAUGACGGCCUUCGGGUUGUAAACUCCCUUCGCCAGGGACGAAGCGUUUUGUGACGGUACCUGGAGAAGAAGCACCGGCUAACUACGUG